AUACGGAGGGUGCGAGCGUUAAUCGGAAUUACUGGGCGUAAAGCGUGCGUAGGCGGUUUGCUAAGUCAGAUGUGAAAGCCCCGGGCUUAACCUGGGAACUGCAUUUGAUACUGGCAGACUAGAGUAUGAUAGAGGGGGGUAGAAUUCCUGGUGUAGCGGUGAAAUGCGUAGAUAUCAGGAGGAAUACCAGUGGCGAAGGCGGCCCCCUGGAUCAAUACUGACGCUCAGGUACGAAAGCGUGGGGAGCGAACAGGAUUAGAUACCCUAGUAGUCC
RNAcentral lists this ribosomal RNA (274 nucleotides) under uncultured bacterium. Its description in RNAcentral is "partial 16S ribosomal RNA". It matches the Rfam family "Bacterial small subunit ribosomal RNA", at positions 523 to 796 of the family's 1533-position model. The record is from RNAcentral.